GUUUUGAGGAACGUCUAGCUACAAAAAAUUAGAACAGUAUCAUCAACAAAAACAUAAACUCGAGCAACCAUUCAAAAGCACUUGACACUAGUCAGUGAUACGAGAAACAUUCAGGAAUUGUUAGAGAUAAAAUGGGGCAGAUGGACUUUGUAGGUUUCAAUUAAACAACAGAUAAUAUUAUAUGUACUGAAUCAUAAAGACAAGGAUUUACGGUUACAAUGCUUGAAUAAUUAUUGUUUAAGAUAUAACACUAAAUAAACCCCAUAAUCACCUUAUUUACAUUAGUCACCCUUUAGAGCAUAUAAAUAAUAUGCAUAAGCUUGUUGCAUAUAUAACUAAUUCAAGGAACUCUUAAUGACUCAGUGGAGAUAUUUGCAAGUUGAUCAUUUAAAUUAACAAAGCAAUACCUCUUAGCCUUGAAGCUUAUUUGUUCCCUUUUGCUUUUGUACAAACCAGAGAAUUGGUACAAUACUUCUUACCAAGUUUACACUAGCACGACACCUCUGAGGUGGCUUAUGACAGGAGAUUACCAACAAUCAUACAAUGUAUUCCAGGUGAAACAGAAGUGAAACAACCUGCCUAUGGUUGAUUGAGAGCAGAAGUUUUUACAUGGCAUAAGACUUGAUGAGGAAGAUUGUUGAUCUUCACUGACAAUCAGAAAAGUUUCACAUCAAGUGUCGCGUCUAUAUAUCAAGUAUAUACCUCAUGCAGGCAUUGAUCAAAUCCUAAACUUGCUGCAAGGAACUUUGGUCCUUUUCAAGUCUUCACUAAACAGGGUGUUUUUGCUUCUAAGCUGAAAAGAGCCCUGGACACCACAAUGUCUGCCCCACUUUUCAUAGUAAUAUAGUGUUAGAAGACAUCUUCUCAUACACAAGCAGCAGCUUUAGUAGUAGUACAAUGGAAUAACCACUCUAUCAAUUGUCAUAGGUGAGGAAGGUUCACACAAGUCCCAAAGCUAAUGAUAUAAGUUCUGGAGUCGUGCUACACAAAGAGAAUGAUAAGUUCAAGGUACACUAUCAAUUCACGCAGGUGGGACCCAUGGAGCGUGAGGGGGAGGAUCAUUAUGAAAGAUUCGGUUGUGGCAUUUGUUGAAUGAAAGCUAAUCUUUAUAAUGGCUAUUGCUCCUGGAAACACACAACCAGAGACGGUUACUUCCUACUACUUGAAUUGAAAAUAAUAAUCAGAUCCCCCUUCUCAGUGAAUUUUUGUUGAUUAUGAUUCUCUCUCCCUAUCAGUCCCCCCCUAAGCUUCUAUGGACAGGGAUGGCCUCCAACUGAAUAACUCUUCUCAACAGGUAUUCAACCAUUGUUCUCAACACAUGCCCAAAUCACCUAUGAUGAAAAACUAGCAUUAUUUUCUAAUGUUGGAAAUCUCAUAUCAACUGAGAUAUGAUCAAUUAUAUGACAUAUGAAUGUCAAUCUCACCUUACAACCAAGUUGAGUUAAGUUUAAAGUCCAAUUUUUAAGAUGGUAGGAGAGUCUACCCUAACAAAGUUUGUUAGGCCUAGUAUGUUGCCCACUAUCAGACCCCCUCCAUAUAUAGUCCCACAUAUCCAGUCCUCAAUGUGAAGGGGUGUAUUGAAGAUUCAACACCAAGUAGAAAUAUAAUUAAAUUACAGUUUACAACUGGGUGAAAAUCUUACCUCAAACUUAAAAAGUUUGUGAGGUAUGAUUUGUACCCACAUCUUAAGAUAGUAUUUGAACCUAUCCUACAGAGUUUUGUUGG
RNAcentral lists this small RNA (1725 nucleotides) under Vigna angularis var. angularis. RNAcentral describes it as "Non-protein coding transcript". Lineage: Eukaryota; Viridiplantae; Streptophyta; Magnoliopsida; Fabales; Fabaceae. The record is from RNAcentral.